GAUGCUGUGGCUCAGUGGUAGAGUGCUUACCUAGCAUGUGUGAGGCACUGGGUUUGAUUCUCAGCACCACA
Molecule: transfer RNA, 71 nt
Filed under: Marmota marmota marmota (Alpine marmot)
Lineage: Eukaryota; Metazoa; Chordata; Mammalia; Rodentia; Sciuridae
Also listed under: 1 other name
Rfam family: tRNA
About the family: Transfer RNA (tRNA) molecules are approximately 80 nucleotides in length. Their secondary structure includes four short double-helical elements and three loops (D, anti-codon, and T loops).
Source: Rfam by way of RNAcentral